AGAGUUCGAUCCUGGCUCAGGAUGAACGCUGGCGGCGCGCCUAACACAUGCAAGUCGAACGGCACCCCUCUCCGGAGGGAAGCGAGUGGCGAACGGCUGAGUAACACGUGGAGAACCUGCCCCCUCCCCCGGGAUAGCCGCCCGAAAGGACGGGUAAUACCGGAUACCCCGGGGUGCCGCAUGGCACCCCGGCUAAAGCCCCGACGGGAGGGGAUGGCUCCGCGGCCCAUCAGGUAGACGGCGGGGUGACGGCCCACCGUGCCGACAACGGGUAGCCGGGUUGAGAGACCGACCGGCCAGAUUGGGACUGAGACACGGCCCAGACUCCUACGGGAGGCAGCAGUGGGGAAUCUUGCGCAAUGGGGGGAACCCUGACGCAGCGACGCCGCGUGCGGGACGGAGGCCUUCGGGUCGUAAACCGCUUUCAGCAGGGAAGAGUCAAGACUGUACCUGCAGAAGAAGCCCCGGCUAACUACGUGCCAGCAGCCGCGGUAAUACGUAGGGGGCGAGCGUUAUCCGGAUUCAUUGGGCGUAAAGCGCGCGUAGGCGGCCCGGCAGGCCGGGGGUCGAAGCGGGGGGCUCAACCCCCCGAAGCCCCCGGAACCUCCGCGGCUUGGGUCCGGUAGGGGAGGGUGGAACACCCGGUGUAGCGGUGGAAUGCGCAGAUAUCGGGUGGAACACCGGUGGCGAAGGCGGCCCUCUGGGCCGAGACCGACGCUGAGGCGCGAAAGCUGGGGGAGCGAACAGGAUUAGAUACCCUGGUAGUCCCAGCCGUAAACGAUGGACGCUAGGUGUGGGGGGACGAUCCCCCCGUGCCGCAGCCAACGCAUUAAGCGUCCCGCCUGGGGAGUACGGCCGCAAGGCUAAAACUCAAAGGAAUUGACGGGGGCCCGCACAAGCAGCGGAG
RNAcentral lists this ribosomal RNA (907 nucleotides) under human gut metagenome. RNAcentral describes it as "bacterial SSU rRNA". It matches the Rfam family "Bacterial small subunit ribosomal RNA", at positions 8 to 937 of the family's 1533-position model. The record is from RNAcentral.